AUACGGAGGGUGCGAGCGUUAAUCAGAAUUACUGGGCGUAAAGGGUGCGUAGGCGGCUUGAUAAGUCGGAUGUGAAAGCCCCGGGCUUAACCUGGGAAUUGCAUUCGAUACUGUCAGGCUAGAGUAUGUCAGAGGUUGGCGGAAUUCCUCGUGUAGCGGUGAAAUGCGUAGAUAUCAGGAGGAACACCAGUGGCGAAGGCGGCUAACUGGGGCAAUACUGACGCUGAGGCACGAAAGCGUGGGGAGCAAACAGGAUUAGAAACCCUAGUAGUCC
Molecule: ribosomal RNA, 274 nt
Filed under: uncultured bacterium
Lineage: Bacteria
Description: partial 16S ribosomal RNA
Rfam family: Bacterial small subunit ribosomal RNA
Source: RNAcentral